Molecule: non-coding RNA, 776 nt
Filed under: Ancylis unculana
Lineage: Eukaryota; Metazoa; Arthropoda; Insecta; Lepidoptera; Tortricidae
Source: RNAcentral
AUAAAUAUUAUGGUUUAAAAAAUUUUUUUUAAAUUUAUUUUACAUAUAAAUUUUAGUAUGUAUUUUUAAUUAUUUAAAUAAUAAUUAAUUUAGUUUAGUAGUAAUUAUCAUUAAAAAUUUAAGAAAUUAAGAUUUAGUAAUAUUAAAAUUAAUAACAAAUUUUGUGCCAGCAGUUGCGGUUAUACAAAAAUUAAGUUAAAUUUUAUUAAUUAUUAAUAAAUAAUAUAUUUAAAUAUUAAUUAAAAUAUUAAAUUAUUAGGUGAAAUUUUUAUUUAAUUAAAAAUUAAUUAAAUAUUUUAUGAUUUAAUAAAUUUUAUAAUAAACUAGGAUUAGAUACCCUAUUAUUUAAAGUUUAAAUUUAAAUAUUAAAAUAGUAUGUAAUUAUUUAUUGAAACUUAAAUAAUUUGGCGGUAUUUUAGUUCAUUUAGAGGAAUCUGUUUAUUAAUUGAUAAUCCACGAAUAAUUUUACUUAAUUAAUAAUUUUGUAUAUCGUUGUUAAAAAAAUAUUUUUAAAUAAAUUUAAUAUUUAAGAAUUUUUAAUAAAAAUUAAAUCAGAUCAAGAUGCAGAUUAUAAUUAAGAAUAUAAUGGAUUACAAUAAAUAUAUUUAAAUGAAUAUUUAAUUGAAAUAUUAAUUUGAAAGUGGAUUUAAAUGUAAUUUUAAUUAAUUUUUUAAAAUGAUUAAAAAUUAAAAUAUGUACAUAUUGCCCGUCGCUUUCAUUUAUAAAUUGAAAUAAGUCGUAACAAAGUAGAGGUACUGGAAAGUGUUUCUAGAAAU